This 322-nucleotide ribosomal RNA is filed under the name uncultured eukaryote. Its description in RNAcentral is "partial 18S ribosomal RNA". It matches the Rfam family "Eukaryotic small subunit ribosomal RNA", at positions 1470 to 1796 of the family's 1831-position model. The record is from RNAcentral.
CCCUUAGAUGUUCUGGGCCGCACGCGUGCUACACUGAGUGGAUCAGCGGGUCAGGUUGCGCGAAAGCGUUUCCUAAUCUUUAAAUCCGCUCGUGAUGGGGAUUGACGGUUGCAAUUUUCUGUCUUGAACGAGGAAUACCUUGUAAGCGCGGGUCAUCAUCCCGCGCUGAAUACGUCCCUGCCCUUUGUACACACCGCCCGUCGCUCCUACCGAUUGAGUGGUCCGGUGAGGCUUUGGGAUCUGAGCGGAAAGAGCGUUUCGCUGUUUCUGCUCGGAAAACUCAGUCGAACCUUAUCAUUUAGAGGAAGGAGAAGUCGUAACA